AUCAGAGGCCGUCAGUCCCAGAGGUCCAUGGACGGGCAGAGAUUCUGUCUGGGAAGCAGACUCAGGAAGAGGAGGAUGUGGAAGAUGUCCAGAGACCCUUUAGAUCUCUAAGAUGCACUUGCAGUUAAUGUAAGUAUAGAAGGAGCCGUCUGGUUGCUAGUCCAUGCAAAUCCUGUGUGCUCCAAGGUGACUCCAAGUGUAAUUGGCACCUGAUAUCCUUGUGAAGAUCCAGAUGUCUCCCUGUAGAGAAGUGAACCCACAGAUACACCCCAAGAGAUCACGUUCUGAUCAUCAUAAGCAGAAAGCUUUGGGCUCUCCUUUCAGAUCGACUCAAGGAUGCCAGAGGCUCGAACACUUCAAUGUCAAUGUCAAGGAUCCCACAUGGAAGAGGAGGUUAAGUGUUUCGGUGAGGCCUCUGGAGAGAAGCCUUCUCUCCCAAAUGAGAAGGACAGUGGUGGAAGAGCAACUUUCAUGAAACAACCUCCAAUAUAGCACAUGUUUGAAUUGAUUGCCCAGGAAACAAUAUGAAGAAAAAAUAGAAAGUUCCUCAUUGUUUUAUUAAAAUCUAUUCCAG
This 574-nucleotide long non-coding RNA is filed under the name Vulpes vulpes (red fox). RNAcentral describes it as "lncRNA (ENSVVUG00000009141.1)". The record is from RNAcentral. Lineage: Eukaryota; Metazoa; Chordata; Mammalia; Carnivora; Canidae.